RNAcentral lists this long non-coding RNA (14578 nucleotides) under Gossypium barbadense (sea-island cotton). RNAcentral's name for it is "long non-coding RNA (GBAR_LNC003573)". The record is from RNAcentral. Lineage: Eukaryota; Viridiplantae; Streptophyta; Magnoliopsida; Malvales; Malvaceae.
AUAUUUUUCGUCAAUUCAUCAGGGUCACAGAAUAGAAGCACUCAAAUCCAUUGUUCCUACUAAUUUGUACUUUUAGUUACACAUUAUUCAUUAGUUAAUACAAAUUGAUAGUAUUCAUCAACAAUAAAAUACUUUAACAAUCAUAAGAUUUUCAUAUCAAAACAUUGAACUUUGCCAUAUGAACUUACCUGGACUAAUUUGCAAAAGUCGUAGAAAUUCAAGGACUAUUCUUGAAUUUUCUCCUUUCCACGAUUCAGUUCGUUUUCUUGAUCUAUAAUUAUAAAAUCAUUCCUUCAUUAGCAUCCAUUUCAAUUCUAUUUCACUUCACAAUUUAUGCUGUUCAAAUUUCGAAAUUACACUUUUACCCCAAAAUUUACAGUUUUCACAAUUUAGUCCCUGCUCAAUUCACCCAUCAAUUGAACUAAUUUUUCUCAAUUAACACUUUAUUUUAUCAUUAUAAACUAUUUCAAAACAUUUUAUAUUCUUAAUUUCAACAGAAACCUUCAAUUCACAACUUUUUCACAAUUAGGUCCUAAAUAUCAUUUCCUAUCAAAAUCACUUAAUAAAACCACCUUAAUAUGAAAUUAGAACUUAAAUUUCGUAAUAAUUCAUCAUAAAAUUUCCCUAUCCAUCCAGGGUAACUUCCAAUUUCACCCAUAAAAUCAAAAACUAAUGAAUUCUACAAGUGGACCAAAUUGUAAAAGUCAUAAAAACAUAAAAAUUAUCAAGAAAAGUAAGAAUUAAACUCGCAUGAUGUAAAAAUAUGAAAAACCAGCUUUCUCCAGACCUUCUAUGGCGUUUUGGCUGAGAAAAUAUGAAGAAAUGUCUAGAUUUUUCAAUUACAUCAUUAUUUAACUAUUAACUUUUAUGCUAUUUCCAAUUUUGCCCCUUGUUCACAUUGUUUUCGUGCUUAUUUCAUACUCAAACCGUCCAGCCAUUAAACUUUGGGUAUAAUUGCUCCUUAAAUCCAUCUUUUUAAAUACUUAAGCUAUUUACUCACAAUUUAACAAAUUUUGCGCUAUUUUCAAUUUAGUCCUUUUUAAUUAAUUAGCCAUCCAAACGUUAAAAUUUUCUAACGAAACUUUAAUACUAACUCAAUGACACUCCAUAAAUAUUUAUAAAAAUAUUUAUAGCUCGAUUUUCAACUUUGAGGUCUCGAUACCUCAUUUUUGACCCGUUUGACCUAAUAAAUUCUUUUAAUUCACUAAUUUCACCAUUUCACAAAUUCUUCUAAAUUCUUACCUGACUCAUAAAUAUUAAAUUACUAUCUUGUUCAAUCUUAUUUGUCGAAUUUAGUGAUCUCAAAUCACCAUUUCCGACACCACUGAAAAUUAGGCCGUUACAACUCUCCCCCCUUUACAAAUUUCGUCCUCGAAAUUUGUUACCUGAAAACAGAUUUUGGAUACUGUGAUCUCAUUGACUCCUCUGUUUCCCAGGUUGCCUCCUCCAAUCCAUGUCGAUGCCAUAACACUUUUACUAACGGUACUCGUUUAUUCCGUAGUUCUUUAACUUCCCGAACUAGUAUUUUCACUGGUUCUUCUGAAUAAGUCAUAUCUGAUUGUAGCUCUAUCUCAGUAUGAGGAAUCACAUGUGAAGGGUCUGAUCUAUAUCGUCUCAACAUAGAUACAUGGAAUACAUUAUGGAUCUUCUCAAGUUCUGGAGGCAAGGCCAAUCUAUAAGCUACCGGACCGAUCCUCUCAAUGAUUUCGUAUGGUCCGAUAAAUCGUGGACUAAGCUUUCCUUUUCUACCAAACCGUAAAACUUUCUUCCACGGAGAAACUUUCAAGAACACACGAUCACCCACAUUGAACUCUAUAUUUCUUCUUUUCAAAUCUGCAUACGACUUUUGACGAUCGGAAGCAGCUUUCAAACUUUCCGGAAUAAUCUGAACUUUCUCUUCAGUUUCCCGAAUUAAAUCCACUCCGACUAAUUUCGAUUCACUUAAUUCUGACCAAUACAACGGGGUUCUGCACUUCCUUCCAUACAGAGCUUCAAACGGUGCCAUUUUGAUACUAGCUUGAUAACUGUUAUUAUAAGCAAAUUCAGCUAAAGGUAAGUACCUUUCCCAGCUGCCACUGAACUCGAGUAUACAGCACCUUAACAUAUCUUCCAAAAUCUGAAUCACUCGCUCUGAUUGUCCAUCUGUCUAAGGGUGAAAAGCUGUACUAAAUUUUAACUUAGUACCUAAAGCUUCCUGUUGUUUAUUCCAAAAUCUUGAAGUAAACCUCGGAUCUCGAUCAGAAAUAAUUGAUGUUGGCACCCCAUGUAAUCUUACAAUUUCUGACACAUAUAAUCCCGCUAACUUAUCAAGUGAAAAAUCUGUUCUGACUGGAAUAAAAUGCGCCGAUUUAGUGAAUCUAUCUACUUUCACCCAAAUCAAAUCUUUUUUCUUCGGAGUCACUGGCAAUCCCGAUACAAAAUCCAUCGUCACAUGUUCCCACUUCCAUUCUGGAAUCACUACGGGUUGUAACAAACCUGUAGGCACUUGAUGUUCAGCUUUUACCUGUUGACAGAUUAAACAUUUUGCCACAAAUUCACAAAUUUCCCGUUUCAUACCAGGCCACCAAUACAUUUUUUUUCAAAUCACAAUACAUCUUCGUACUACCCGGAUGAAUCGAGUACAUACUACUAUGAGCCUCUGAUAAGAUAUCCUUCUUCAAUUCUAGAUUAUUCGGGACACAAAUUCUAUUACGAUGGUAUAACAUACCACUAUUAUCAAUAGAGUAAUCUAAGUUCAAAUUAUCUCGAACCAUUUGUCGUUUCAACACCAACUUCGGAUCUUCAUCUUGCAAUUCCCGAAUUCGUUGAAAGAAUACUGGUUUUGUCUUUAAUUCAGCUAAUAUUGAACCAUUUUCAUUAACAGACAAAUGAGCAUUUAACACCCGAAGAGCAAAUAAUGAUGAUUUUCGACUAAGUGCAUCUGCCACUACAUUUGCCUUACCCGGAUGAUAAUCAAUGAUAAGAUCGUAAUCUUUCAACAGCUCUAACCAUCGCCUCUGUCUCAAAUUCAGCUCUUUCUGCGACAUUAAAUAUUUCAAACUUUUAUGGUCUGUAUACACAUAACAUUUCUCUCCAUAUAGGUACUGUCUCCAAAUUUUUAAAGCAAAUACUAUGGCAGCUAAUUCAAGAUCAUGUGUAGGGUAGUUCCUCUCAUGUGGUUUCAACUGUCGAGAAGCAUAUGCUACAACUUUUCCUGACUGCAUCAAUACACAACCUAAACCAUUCAGAGACGCAUCACUAUAUACUACAUAUGGCACACCUGAUUCAGGCUGAGUUAACACCGGAGCCUCUAUCAACAUUUUCUUUAAUUGAUCAAAACUUUGUUGGUACUCAUCAGACCAUACAAACUCAACAUUCUUCUGUAAUAAUUUAGUUAUCGGUGAAGCAAUCAGUGAAAAAUCUUUCACAAAUCGACGAUAGUAACCAGCUAAUCCAAGGAAACUUCGCACUUCCGUAACAUUCUUUGGAGUUUUCCAAUUAAUCACCGCUGACACCUUACUCGGAUCUACCCGUAUACCAUCAACUGACACAAUGUGACCCAAGAAUCCCACUUCAUGAAGCCAAAAUUCACAUUUACUAAAUUUUGCAUAUAACUGUUUUUCCCUUAAUAUCUGUAGUACAAUUCUCAAGUGCUGAGCAUGCUCAGAUUCUGUCUUUGAAUAGAUCAGUAUAUCGUCAAUAAACACAACCACAAAUCUAUCCAGGUAAGACUGGAAAAUUCGAUUCAUUAAAUCCAUAAAAGCAGCAGGAGCAUUUGUCAAACCGAAUGGCAUAACUAAGAACUCAUAAUGACCAUACCGAGUUCUAAAAGCUAUUUUCGGUACAUCACAUUCCUUUACCUUUAACUGAUAAUACCCAGAUCUGAGAUCUAUUUUUGAAAACACUGUAGCAUCCUUAAGCUGAUCGAAUAAAUCAUCAAUACGAGGCAAAGGAUAUUUAUUUUUAAUUGUUACCUUAUUCAGCUGCCAGUAAUCUAUGCACAGCCUCAAUGAACCAUCCUUCUUUUUCACAAAUAAGACAGGUGCACCCCAUGGUGACAUACUCGGUCUGAUAAACCCUUUGUCUAACAGUUCUUGCAACUGCGCUUUUGACUCUCUUAAUUCUGCUGGAGCCAUUCUAUACGGUGUCACUGAUAUGGGAGCUGUUCCUGGAAGCACAUCUAUCACGAACUCAACUUCUCUAUCGGGCGGUAAACCUGGUAAUUCUUCAGGAAAUACAUCCAUGAAUUCAUUUACAACAGAUAGUUGCUCUAACUUUGAUUUAGAACUUCGAGUAUCAAGAAUAUAGGCUAAAUAAGCCUCAUUUCCUUUAUGCAACAAUUUCUGAGCAGACAUAAAGGAAAUCAUUCUAACCAUGUCAUCCAAAUUCCCAGACUCAACCAAAACAAUAUCUCCUGUUUGACAUUUCAAGCUAAUUCGUUUUUCUCGACAAUUCACUACCGCGUCAUGUUUCAUUAACCAGUCCAUGCCCAAGAUAAUAUCAAAUUCACGAAAGGGUAGCAGCAUCAAAUCAGCGGGGAAAUCACAGCCCUUAACUUUCAGUGGACAGUUAUGACAUAUUAAAUUAACUACCACACUUUAACCUAACGGAUUUGUAACUUGUACAUCAUAAUCAGUAGGCUCAACAAAUAAAUUCUUUUCAGAUGCUAAUAUAGUGCAAAUAUAUGAAUGAGUAGACCCAGGGUCUAUUAAAGCAUACACAGGAACAUCAUUAAGAUAGAAAGUACCAGCAAUUACAUCUGGAGCUGUUGCUUCUUCUCUCGCUCGAAUGGCAUAAGUACAAGCAGGAGCCCUAACUUCUGAUCGGCUAGCAGUAUCUUUCAUACCCGAACGAGUAGCCCCUGUAGCACUGCUCUGACCAGAGCGUCUUCCUUUUUGAGGAAGAAUUUUCUGUUUCUCCCUCUGUUCCACUUCUUCUACUUGUAAUUGGGGACAAUCACGAAUAAAGUGAUCAGUGGCCCCACAUUUAUAACAAGCCCCUAACUUACUUCUACAUUCACCGGGGUGACUUCUUCCACAAUGUUGACACUUAGGCCUUUGGGUAUUUUGUACACUACCCACACUAACAGCAGGUCUGUCAGAUGCUUUGUAAUCAGAUUGUCUUGGCCUACUUUUUCCUGAUCUUUCCGGUACUGAAAUGGCUCGACUGAAUUCCUCUUUAGAUUUCUUCACUGGUAAAGCCGAAAAUGACUUAGAUGCACUUCUUUUGAAAGAUUCUUUACUUAUUCUAUCUCGUUGCAUCUUUUUAUUAUAUACUUCUUCAAGCUUCUGAGCACGAUUUGAUAAAACAACAAAUUCUCGUAACUCAAUGCCCCCUAUCAUCAUUUUAAUCUCAUCAUUAAGCCAUUCUUAAAAUCUGAUACACAUUUCUUCUUUUGUGGGUACUAUAUCUCGAGCAUAUUUGCUCAGAUAAACUGUAACGCCCCUUACCCGAGACCAAUGCCGGAGUCGAGCACAAGGCACUACUAAACUUAUUUGAGCACUUAACCAAAUUUAGAUAAUUUAUAUCAUACUUUUCAGACAAGCUGUCCAACUGCGUCAUAGUUGCUAAAUAAUUCAUAUCUCGAGUUAUAAAACUCAAAACCAAAAUCCGUAAAUUUUCCCCGAAUUUAUACUCAUAUAUCUACUUACCAAUUUUUUUUAUAAUUUUUGGCUGGUCCAAUUAGUACAGUUUAUUAGUUAAAUCCUCCCCUAUUUCAGGGUUUGGCUACUUUGACCCCUGUGCACUACGAACCAAAUUUCUCUCUGUACAAAAUACAAAUAACCAUGCCGUUUAUUUCUCUUAAAAAUAGUCCCAAUGAGGAAUACAUACAUAUACAGUAUGACUCAUAAUUAUUUUUGUGUAAUUUUUAAUGAUUUUUUAAGAUCAGAAUAGGGGAACUCGAAGUCAUUCAGACUCUGUCUCACCACAAUUUAAAUAUCUCAUAACAUAAAAUCCAAUUGCAUGCACCGUUUCCUCUAUAUGAAACUAGACUCAUUAGGCUUUAAUUUCAUUUUUUCCAGCCCUUAACUCAAUUUCCACAAUUUAUGGUGAAUUUUCAAAGUCAAACUACUGCUACUUACCAAAAACUGUUUUAGUACAAAUAUUGUUAACUAGUUCAUAACAUCUUUACUUCAAUUCAUUCAAACUCUAUACAUGCCAUAUAAAUCUUUAAACAUAAAACAAAAACUACCAGAAUUGAUCUGAAUAGUGUGCCCUGUUGUGUUGAUCCGAUCUACCGACUUCACUUCAAGUCAAUCUACAUAAAAAUAUUAAACACACACAAGUAAUCUUAUUGAAGCUUAGUAAGCUCAUAGGCAUAUAAACACAAAUCAUAUCAAAUAUCGUACACAAUCUUAUAUCUAUUAGUUUAACUAUUUCAUCCUUCAAAUCACAAUUUCAUUAAUAACUCAUUGGAAUAAUUUCCAUAUGGCUACUCACAAUUUAACUCCCUUAGGCCCAUUUCUCAUUUACUUCAUUCUCAAUUUAAGGAACAAUAAGGGAAUUGAGUGCUUCAUUAUCACAUUGCCAUAGUAAACUAUGGACUUUCACAUUGUUACGCAUCACACACCGAAGCCAUAGCCUUGCCAUGGUCUUACACGGUUCACAUAUCAUACCGAAGCCAUAUCCCAGACAUGGUCUUAUACGGAAUCACAUUAUCACAUUAUACCGAUGCCAUAACCCAGCUAUGGUCUUAUACGGAGUCACAUUAUCACAUUGCACCGAUGCCAUAGCCCAGCUACGGUCUUAAACGGGCACACUUAUCACAUAUUUUUCGUUAAUUCAUCAGGGUCACAGAAUAGAAGCACUCAAAUCCAUUGUUCCAACUAAUUUGUACUUUUAGUUACACAUUAUUCAUUAGUUAAUGCAAAUUGAUAGUAUUCAUCAACAAUAAAAUACUUUAACAAUCAUAAUAUUUUCAAAUCAAAACAUUGAACUUUGCCAUAUGAACUUACCUGGACUAAUUUGCAAAAGUCGUAGAAAUUCAGGGACUAUUCUUGAAUUUUCUCCUUUCCACGAUUCAGUUCGUUUUCUUGAUAUGAUGUAAAAAUAUGAAAAACCAGCUUUCUCCAGACCUUCUAUGGCGUUUUGGCUGAGAAAAUAUGAAGAAAUGUCUAGAUUUUUCAGUUACAUCAUUAUUUAACUAUUAACUUUUAUGCUAUUUCCAAUUUUGCCCCUUGUUCACAUUGUUUUCUUGCUUAUUUCAUACCCAAACCGUCCAGCCAUUAACCUUUGGGUCUAAUUGCUCUUUAAAUCCAUAUUUUUAAAUACUUAAGCUAUUUACUCACAAUUUAACAAAUUUUGCGCUAUUUUCAAUUUAGUCCUUUUUAAUUAAUUAGCCAUCCAAACGUUAAAAUUUUCUAACGAAACUUUAAUACUAACUCAAUGACACUCCAUAAAUAUUUAUAAAAAUAUUUAUAGCUCAAUUUUCAACUUUGAGGUCUCGAUACCUCAUUUUUGACCCGUUUGACCUAAUAAAUUCUUUUAAUUCACUAAUUUCACCAUUUCACAAAUUCUUCUAAAUUCUUACUUGACUCAUAAAUAUUAAAUUACUAUCUUGUUCAAUCUUAUUUGUCGAAUUUAGUGAUCUCAAAUCACCAUUUCCGACACCACUGAAAAUUAGGCCGUUACAACUCUCCCCCCUUUAAAAAUUUCGUCCUCGAAAUUUGUUACCUGAAAACAGAUUAGGAUACUGUGAUCUCAUUGACUUCUCUGUUUCCCAGGUUUCCUCCUCCAAUCCAUGUCGAUGCCAUAACACUUUUACUAACGGUACUCGUUUAUUCCGUAGUUCUUUAACUUCCCGAGCUAAUAUUUUCACUGGUUCCUCCGAAUAAGUCAUAUCUGAUUGUAGCUCUAUCUCAGUAUGAGGAAUCACAUGUGAAGGGUCUAAUCUAUAUCGUCUCAACAUAGAUACAUGAAAUACAUUAUGGAUCUUCUCAAGUUCUGGAGGCAAGGCCAAUCUAUAAGCUACCGGACCGAUCCUCUCAAUGAUUUCGUAUGGUCCGAUAAAUCGUGGACUAAGCUUUCCUUUUCUACCAAACCGUAAAACUUUCUUCCACGGAGAAACUUUCAAGAACACACGAUCACCCACAUUGAACUCUAUAUCUCUUCUUUUCAAAUCUGCAUACGACUUUUAACGAUCGGAAGUAGCUUUCAAACUUUCCCGAAUAAUCUGAACUUUCUCUUCAGUUUCCCGAAUUAAAUCCAUUCCGACUAAUUUCGAUUCACUUAAUUCUGACCAAUACAACGGGGAUCUGCACUUCCUUCCAUACAGAGCUUCAAACGGUGCCAUUUUGAUACUAGCUCGAUAACUGUUAUUAUAAGCAAAUUCAGCUAAAGGUAAGUACUUUUCCCAGCUGCCAUUGAACUCGAGUAUACAACACCUUAACAUAUCUUCCAAAAUCUGAAUCACUCGCUCUGAUUGUCCAUCUGUCUGAGGGUGAAAAGCUGUACUAAAUUUUAACUUAGUACCUAAAGCUUCCUGUUGUUUAUUCCAAAAUCUCGAAGUAAACCUCGGAUCUCGAUCAGAAAUAAUGGAUGUCGGCACCCCAUGUAAUCUCACAAUUUCUGACACAUAUAAUUCCGCUAACUUAUCAAGUGAAAAAUCUGUUCUGACCGGAAUAAAAUGCGCUGAUUUAGUGAAUCUGUCUACUAUCACCCAAAUCGAAUCUUUUUUCUUCGGAGUCACUGGCAAUCCAGAUACAAAAUCCAUCGUCACAUGUUCCCACUUCCAUUCUGGAAUCAUUACGGGUUGUAACAAACCUGUAGGCACUUGAUGUUCAGCUUUUACCUGUUGACAGAUUAAACAUUUUGCCACAAAUUCACAAAAUUCCCGUUUCAUACCAGGCCACCAAUACAUUUUUUUUCAAAUCACAAUACAUCUUCGUACUACCCGGAUGAAUCGAGUACAUACUACUAUGAGCCUCUGAUAAGAUAUCCUUCUUCAAUUCUAGAUUAUUCGGGACACAAAUUCUAUUACAAUGGUAUAACAUACCACUAUUAUCAAUAGAGUAAUCUAAGUUCAAAUUAUCCCGAACCAUUUGUCGUUUCAACACCAACUUUGGAUCUUCAUCUUGCAAUUCCUGAAUUCGUUGAAAGAAUACUAGUUUUGUCUUUAAUUCAGCUAAUAUAGAACCAUUUUCAUUAACAGACAAAUGAGCAUUUAACGCCCAAAGAGCAAAUAAUGAUGAUUUCUGACUAAGUGCAUCUGCCACUACAUUUGCCUUACCCGGAUGAUAAUCAAUGAUAAGAUCGUAAUCUUUCAACAGCUCUAACCAUCGCCUCUGUCUCAAAUUUAGCUCUUUCUGCGACAUUAAAUAUUUCAAACUUUUAUGGUCUGUAUACACAUAACAUUUCUCUCCAUAUAGGUAGUGUCUCCAAAUUUUUAAAGCAAAUACUAUGGCAGCUAAUUCAAGAUCAUGUGUAGGGUAGUUCCUCUCAUGUGGUUUCAACUGUCGAGAAGCAUAUGCUACAACUUUUCCUGACUGCAUCAAUACACAACCUAAACCAUUCAGAGACGCAUCACUAUAUACUGCAUAUGGCACACCUGAUUCAGGCUGAGUUAACACCGGAGCCUCUGUCAACAUUUUCUUUAAUUGAUCAAAACUUUGUUGGCACUCAUCAGACCAUACAAACUCAACAUUCUUCUGUAAUAAUUUAGUUAUCGGUGAAGCAAUCAGUGAAAAAUCUUUCAUAAAUCGACGAUAGUAACCAGCUAAUCUAAGGAAACUUCGCACUUCCGUAACAUUCUUUGGAGUUUUCCAAUUAAUCACCGCUGACACCUUACUCGGAUCUACCCGUAUACCAUCAACUGACACAAUGUGACCCAAGAAUCCCACUUCAUGAAGCCAAAAUUCACAUUUACUAAAUUUUGCAUAUAACUGUUUUUCCCUUAAUAUCUGUAGUACAAUUCUCAAGUGCUGAGCAUGCUCGGAUUAUGUCUUUGAAUAGAUCAGUAUAUCGUCAAUAAACACAACCACAAAUCUAUCCAGGUAAGACUGGAAAAUUCGAUUCAUUAAAUCCAUAAAAGCAGCAGGAGCAUUUGUCAAACCGAAUGGCAUAACUAAGAACUCAUAAUGACCAUACCGAGUUCUAAAAGCUGUUUUCGGUACAUCACAUUCCUUUACCUUUAACUGAUAAUACCCAGAUCUGAGAUCUAUUUUUGAAAACACUGUAGCAUCCUUAAGCUGAUCGAAUAAAUCAUCAAUACGAGGCAAAGGAUAUUUAUUUUUAAUUGUUACCUUAUUCAGCUGCCAGUAAUCUAUGCACAGCCUCAAUGAACCAUCCUUCUUUUUCACAAAUAAGACAGGUGCACCCCAUGGUGACAUACUCGGUCUGAUAAACCCUUUGUCUAACAGUUCUUGCAACUGCGCUUUUAACUCUCUUAAUUCUGCUGGAGCCAUUCUAUACGAUGUCACUGAUAUGGGAGCUGUUCCUAGAAGCACAUCUAUCACGAACUCAACUCUCUAUCGGGUGGUAAACCUGGUAAUUCUUCAGGAAAUACAUCCAUGAAUUCAUUUACAACAGAUAGUUGCUCUAACUUUGAUUUAGAACUUCGAGUAUCAAGAAUAUAGGCUAAAUAAGCCUCAUUUCCUUUACGCAACAAUUUCUGAGCAGACAUAAAGGAAAUCAUUCUAACCAUGUCAUCCAAAUUCCCAGACUCAACCAAAAUAAUAUCUCAUGUUUGACAUUUCAAGCUAAUUCGUUUUUCUCGACAAUUCACUACCGCGUCAUGUUUCAUUAACCAGUCCAUGCCCAAGAUAAUAUCAAAUUCACGAAAGGGUAGCAGCAUCAAAUCAGCGGGGAAAUCACAGCCCUUAACUUUCAGUGGACAAUUAUGACAUAUUAAAUUAACUACCACACUUUGACCUAACGGAUUUGUAACUUGUACAUCAUAAUCAGUAGGCUCAACAAAUAAGUUCUUUUCAGAUGCUAACAUAGUGAAAAUAUAUGAAUGAGUAGACCCAGGGUCUAUUAAAGCAUACACAGGAACAUCAUAAAUAUAGAAAGUACCAGCAAUUACAUCUGGAGCUGUUGCUUCUUCUCUCGCUCGAAUGGCAUAAGUACGAGCAAGAGCCCUAACUUCUGAUCGGCUAGCAGUAUCUUUCAUAUCCGAACGAGUAGCCCCUGUAGCACUGCUCUAAUCAGAGCGUCUUCCUUUUUGAGGAAGAAUUUUCUGUUUCUCCCUCUAUUCCACUUCUUCUACUUGUAAUUGGGGACAAUCACGAAUAAAGUGAUCAGUGGCCCCACAUUUAUAACAAGCCCCUAACUUACUUCUACAUUCACCGGGGUGACUUCUUCCACAAUGUUGACACGCCUUUGGGUAUUUUGUACACUACCCACACUAACAGCAGGUCUGUCAGAUGCUUUGUAAUCAGAUUGUCUUGGCCUACUUUUUCCUGAUCUUUCCGGCACUGAAGUGGCUCAACUGAAUUCCUCUUUAGAUUUCUUCACUGGUAAAGCCGAAAAUGACUUAGAUGCACUUCUUUUGAAAGAUUCUUUACUUCUUCUAUCUCGUUGCAUCUUUUUAUUAUAUACUUCUUCAAGCUUUUGAGCACGAUCAGAUAGAACAACAAAUUCUCGUAUCUCAAUGCCCCCUAUCAUCAUUUUAAUCUCAUCAUUAAGCCCUUCUUCAAAUCUGAUACACAUUUCUUCUUCUGUGGGUAUUAUAUCUCGAGCAUAUUUGCUCAGAUAAACAAAUUCUCUUUCAUAUUCAGCCACUGACUUGUUUCCCUGUCGCAAGUCGAGAAAUUCUCUUUUCUUCUUAUCCAGAUAUCUUCUACCGACAUAUUUCUUCUUAAAUUCAUUUUGAAAAAAUUCCCAAGUGAUCUUCUCAGCCGGUACAACAGCUUCUAUUGUUUCCCACCAGUUAUAAGCUUCUUCUUUCAAUAAUGACACGGCACAUAUUAAGUAAUCAUCUGGUGAGCACGCCAUUUGCUUAAAAACCCUCAUUAUACUUUGCAACCAAUAUUCAGCUUUAACGGGGUCAUCAUCUGUUCUUCCCCGAAAUUCUUCAGCCCCAUGUUUUUUGAGCUUUUCAAAUGGAGAACGUUUGCCAGAUUCAGUUGUCGGAGGAGGUGGAGGAGCAACCGGGGGUACUACAGAUGUUGAGAUAGGGGGAGGAGGUUGCGGACUCUGAUUUCUUUCUCGCACAUUCUCAUUAUACCACUGAUUCAUGAAUCCAUAAAUCAUAUUUUUGAGUUCUUGCUCUCGCAUCAAUGAAAUCGGAGCUUCACUACUUGUUCCUUGUUCAGAGGUUUGUACUCUGCUAUUAACUUCUUCUUGCUCAGUUUGUUCUGGUCUAUCUGACAUCUUUUCAAAUCGAAGAUAAUCUAUAAUAAAAACAAGAAUUAGAUCGGAUCAUAUACAGCACACUAUCACAGAUUUAUAUGGCAUGUAAUUCUAGACACUUUUCACAUCAUACAUAUUCCGAGAAUCGGCUAAACCGAAGCUCUGAUACCAAUAAAUGUAACGCCCCUUACCCGAGACCGUUUUCGGAGUCGAGCGCAAGGCACUACUAAACUUAUUUGAGCACUUAACCAAAUUCAGAUAAUUUAUAUCAUACUUUUCAGACAAGCUGUCCAACUGCGUCAUAGUUGCUAAAUAAUUCAUAUCUCGAGUUAUAAAACUCGAAACCCAAAUCCGUAAAUUUUCCCUGAAUUUAUACUCAUAUGUAUACUUACAAAUUUUUUUUUAUAAUUUUUGGUUGGUCCAAUUAGUACAUUUUAUUAGUUAAAUCCUCCCCUAUUUCAGGGUUUGGCUACUUUGACCCCUGUACACUACGAACCAAAUUUCUCUCUGUACAAAAUACAAAUAACCAUGCCGUUUGUUUCUCUUAAAAAUAAACCCAAUGAGGAAUCCAUACAUAUACAGUAUGACUCAUAAUUAUUUUUGUGAAAUUUUUAAUGAUUUUCUAAAAUCAGAACAGGGGAACUCGAAGUCAUUCAGACUCUGUCUCACCACAAUUUAAAUAUCUCAUAACAUAAAAUCCAAUUGCAUGCGCCGUUUCCUCUAUAUGAAACUAGACUCAUUAGGCUUUGAUCUCAUUUUUUUUUCAGCCCUUAACUCAAUUUCCACAAUUUAUGGUGAAUUUUCAAAGUCAAACUACUGCUACUUACCAAAAACUGUUUUAGUACAAAUAUUGUUAACUAGUUCAUAACAUCUUUACUUCAAUUCAUUCAAACUCUAUACAUGCCAUAUAAAUCUUUAAAUAUAAAACAAAAACUACCAGAAUUGAUCUGAAUAGUGUGCCCUGUUGUGUUGAUCCGAUCUACCCACUUCACUUCAAGUCAAUCUACAUAAAAAUAUUAAACACGCACAAGUAAGCUUAUUGAAGCUUAGUAAGCUCAUAGGCAUAUAAACACAAAUCAUAUCAAAUAUCGUACACAAUCAUAUAUCUAUUAGUUUAACUAUUUCAUCCUCCAAAUCACAAUUUCAUUAAUAACUCAUUGGAAUAAUUUCCAUAUGGCUACUCACAAUUUAACUCCCUUAGGCCCAUUUCUCAUUUACUUCAUUGUCAAAUUAGGGAACAAUAAGGGAAUUGAGUGCUUCAUUAUUACAUUGCCAUAGUAAACUAUGGACUUUCACAUUGUUACGCAUCACACACCGAAGCCAUAGCCUUGCCAUGGUCUUACACGGUUCACAUAUCAUACCGAAGCCAUAUCCCAGACAUGGUCUUAUACGGAAUCACAUUAUCACAUUAUAUCGAUGCCAUAGCCCAGCUAUGGUCUUAUACGGAGUCAUAUUAUCACAUUGCACCGAUGCCAUAGCCCAGCUAUGGUCUUAAACGGGCACACUUAUCACAUAUUUUUCGUCAAUUCAUCAGGGUCACAGAAUAGAAGCACUCAAAUCCAUUGUUCCUACUAAUUUGUACUUUUAGUUACACAUUAUUCAUUAGUUAAUACAAAUUGAUAGUAUUCAUCAACAAUAAAAUACUUUAACAAUCAUAAGAUUUUCAUAUCAAAACAUUGAACUUUUCCAUAUGAACUUACCUGGACUAAUUUGCAAAAGUCGUAGAAAUUCAGGGACUAUUCUUGAAUUUUCUCCUUUCCACGAUUCAAUUCGUUUUCUUGAUCUAUAAUUAUAAAAUCAUUCCUUCAUUAGCAUCCAUUUCAAUUCUAUUUCACUUCACAAUUUAUGCUGUUCAAAUUUUGAAAUUACAUUUUUACCCCAAAAUUUACAGUUUUCACAAUUUAGUCCCUGCUCAAUUCACCCAUCAAUUGAACUAAUUUUUCUCAAUUAACACUUUAUUUUAUCAUUAUAAACUAUUUCAAAACCUUUUAUAUUCUUAAUUUCAACAGAAACCUUCAAUUCACAACUUUUUCACAAUUAGGUCCUAAAUAUCAUUUCCUAUCAAAAUCACUUAAUAAAACCACCUUAGUAUGAAAUUAGAACUUAAAUUUCGUAAUAAUUCAUCAUAAAAUUUCCCUAUCCAUCCAGGGUAACUUCCAAUUUCACCCAUAAAAUCAAAAACUAAUGAAUUCUACAAGUGGACCUAAUUGUAAAAGUCAUAAAAAUUAUCAAGAAAAGUAAGAAUUAAACUCACAUGAUGUAAAAAUAUGAAAAACCAGCUUUCUCCAGACCUUCUAUGGCGUUUUGG